Molecule: long non-coding RNA, 214 nt
Filed under: Gossypium raimondii (Peruvian cotton)
Lineage: Eukaryota; Viridiplantae; Streptophyta; Magnoliopsida; Malvales; Malvaceae
Description: long non-coding RNA (GRAI_LNC009756)
Source: RNAcentral
ACCGUUUCGUUGAAGAGAGGUUCUCUUUUGGAUGCAAGGUUUGAAAAGUUAGGGCACUGUGUUUGUGAAAAUCAGACCCGAGUUAGUUUUGGUUUGGCAGUGUACAAGUCGAAGGCUAGAAGUCUUCCAGUUUCUAAGCACAGAUUCGACUUAGUUAAUUCCAUGCAUAGUUCAAGAUAGGCUCGUGGCGGGCUUUGGCAAAGAUGGUGUUGUG